GACGAGCCUGAGAAGGGCGUUCGGUGGAUGCCUUGGCGCCAGGAGGCGAAGAAGGACGUGGCACGCUGCGAAAAGCCGCGGGGAGAUGCGAGCGAUCGUUGAUCCGCGGAUGUCCGAAUGGGGAAACCCACCCUGAGAGGGGUAUCAUCAUCUGAAUUCAUAGGGUGAUGAGGCGAACCCGGGGAACUGAAACAUCUCAGUACCCGGAGGAAAAGACAUCAACAGAGAUUCCGCGAGUAGUGGCGAGCGAAAGCGGAGCAGGCCAGUGGUUUUCGUGAGAGAAGCUGAACGGUCUGGAAAGGCCGGCCGGAGCGGGUGACAGCCCCGUAGGCGUAGUGCUGACGGAAAUCCUUGAGUAGGGCGGGGCACGUGAAACCCUGUCUGAACGUGGGGGGACCACCCUCCAAGCCUAAAUACUCCCUGGCGACCGAUAGUGCACAAGUACCGUGAGGGAAAGGUGAAAAGCACCCCGACGAGGGGAGUGAAAGAGACCUGAAACCGGACGCCUACAAGCAGUCGGAGCCCGAGAGGGUGACGGCGUACCUUUUGUAUAAUGGGUCCGCGAGUUCGUGUAUCUGGCGAGCUUAAGCCGAUAGGUGGAGGCGCAGCGAAAGCGAGUCUGAACAGGGCGUUCAGUCAGAUGCAUGAGACCCGAAACCGAGUGAUCUAGCCAUGGCCAGGCUGAAGGUGGGGUAACACCCACUGGAGGGCCGAACCCACGCCUGUUGAAAAAGUCGGGGAUGAGCUGUGGCUAGGGGUGAAAGGCCAAUCAAACUCGGAAAUAGCUGGUUCUCCGCGAAAUCUAUUGAGGUAGAUCGUCGUGUGUUUACCACCGGAGGUAGAGCACCGGAUGGGCUAGGGGGGCCCAAAGCCCUACCAAACCCAACCGAACUCCGAAUGCCGGUGAGUAUAGCGCGGCAGACAGACGGCGGGUGCUAAGGUCCGUCGUCGAGAGGGAAACAGCCCAGACCAUCGUCUAAGGUCCCCAAAUCGUGGCUAAGUGGGAAAGCAUGUGGGACGGCCAAAACAACCAGGAGGUUGGCUUAGAAGCAGCCAUCCUUUAAAGAAAGCGUAAUAGCUCACUGGUCUAAUAGCUGUUCUGCGGCGAAAAUGUAACGGGGCUCAAGCCACGUACCGAAGACAUGGGUGUAGAGGGUAGUGGUCAGAAGUCAGGGUGCAGGAUGCAGGGAAGAAUGGGCAGAUGGAUGAAGGGGUGUGGCGGUUUGAAGCAUUCCGCCGGUCCUAUGAUCUGUCGCUGACGCUGCAUCGGGCCAGUCUGACAUGGCCGAAGGUCGAACAGUAUGGCGGCGUGGCCGACCAGCUGAGGCGGGCAUCGAAAUCGGUGUGCGCAUUGCUGGUGGAAGGUCAGGGUCGCCGGACGCAAUCGAAGGCGGAAUACCGGCGCUAUCUGAUGAUGGCGAUGGGAUCGGCUGACGAAGCGGGCUUGUGGUGUCGCUACGCGGCUGACUUGGGAUAUGCGCCGCGUGACGAGGCACUGGCUUGGCAGCGUGAACUGUCUGAGAUCGCGCGAAUGCUGCAGGCAUUGCGCGGGCGGCUUUCUGCAACCUGAACUCUGAUCACUGCCCUCUGCGCGGUAGCGGAGCGUUCCCUAGGCCUGUGAAGCGGUAUCCGUGAGGGGCCGUGGAGGUAUGGGAAGUGCGAAUGCGGACAUGAGUAGCGACAAGGAGGGUGAGAAACCCUCCCGCCGAAAGUCCAAGGGUUCCUGCGCAAGGUUAAUCCGCGCAGGGUGAGCCGGCCCCUAAGGCGAGGGCGAGAGCCGUAGCCGAUGGGAAGCGGGUGAAUAGUCCCGCGCCCGCCAGAAGUGACGGCCCUGAGACGCUGUAUCCCCUUAUCGGAUUGGGGGUGCGGUUGGAGGGGUCCGGGAAACAGCUCUGGCAUAUGGACCGUACCCGAAACCGACACAGGUGGACUGGUUGAGCAUACCAAGGCGCUUGAGGGAACCAUGCUGAAGGAACUAGGCAAAUUGCCCGCGUAACUUCGGGAUAAGCGGGACCUGUUCCUGGGCAACCAGGGAUGGGUGGCACAGACCAGGGGGUGGCGACUGUUUAGUAAAAACACAGGGCUCUGCGAAGUCGCGAGACGACGUAUAGGGUCUGACGCCUGCCCGGUGCCGGAAGGUCAAGGGGAGGAGUGCGAGCUCCGAACCGAAGCCCCGGUAAACGGCGGCCGUAACUAUAACGGUCCUAAGGUAGCGAAAUUCCUUGUCGGGUAAGUUCCGACCUGCACGAAUGGCGUAACGACCUCCCCACUGUCUCCAGCAUGGGCUCAGCGAAAUUGAAUUCCCCGUGAAGAUGCGGGGUACCCGCAGUUAGACGGAAAGACCCUAUGAACCUUUACUGCAACUUCGCAGUGGCGCCAGGAAGGGGCUGUGUAGGAUAGGUGGGAGGCUUUGAAGCCGGGGCGCCAGCCUUGGUGGAGCCAGCCUUGAAAUACCACCCUGCGCCUUUCUGGCGUCUAACCGCAUCCCGUCAUCCGGGAUCGGGACCCUGCGUGGUGGGCAGUUUGACUGGGGCGGUCGCCUCCCAAAUGGUAACGGAGGCGCGCGAUGGUGGGCUCAGGCCGGUCGGACAUCGGCUGUUGAGUGCAAAGGCACAAGCCCGCCUGACUGCGAGCGCGACAGCGCGAGCAGAGACGAAAGUCGGCCUUAGUGAUCCGGUGGUCCCGCGUGGAAGGGCCAUCGCUCAACGGAUAAAAGGUACUCUAGGGAUAACAGGCUGAUCUCCCCCAAGAGUCCACAUCGACGGGGAGGUUUGGCACCUCGAUGUCGGCUCAUCGCAUCCCGGGGCUGGAGCAGGUCCCAAGGGUUCGGCUGUUCGCCGAUUAAAGCGGUACGUGAGCUGGGUUUAGAACGUCGUGAGACAGUUCGGUCCCUAUCUGCUGUGGGUGUAUGAGACUUGCGAGGAGCUUUCCCUAGUACGAGAGGACCGGGAAGGACGCACCUCUGGUGAACCGGUUGUCGCGCCAGCGGCACGGCCGGGUGGCCAAGUGCGGAACGGAUAACCGCUGAAGGCAUCUAAGCGGGAAACCGACCUCAAAACCAGGUCUCGCCGAGGGCCGUGGAAGACCACCACGUCAAUAGGCCGCAGGUAUACGAGGGGUAACCCUCUCAGCCGAGCGGUCCUAAUCGCCCGAUCGCGUUCGCCCA
This 3166-nucleotide ribosomal RNA is filed under the name Leptolyngbya sp. 15MV. Its description in RNAcentral is "23S ribosomal RNA". It matches the Rfam family "Bacterial large subunit ribosomal RNA". Lineage: Bacteria; Bacillati; Cyanobacteriota; Cyanophyceae; Leptolyngbyales; Leptolyngbyaceae. The record is from RNAcentral.